Molecule: ribosomal RNA, 486 nt
Filed under: uncultured bacterium
Lineage: Bacteria
Description: partial 16S ribosomal RNA
Rfam family: Bacterial small subunit ribosomal RNA
Source: RNAcentral
AUUGAACGCUGGCGGCAUGCCUUACACAUGCAAGUCGAACGGCAGCACGGGUGCUUGCACCUGGUGGCGAGUGGCGAACGGGUGAGUAAUACAUCGGAACAUGUCCUGUAGUGGGGGAUAGCCCGGCGAAAGCCGGAUUAAUACCGCAUACGAUCUACGGAUGACAGCGGGGGACCUUCGGGCCUCGCGCUAUAGGGUUGGCCGAUGGCUGAUUAGCUAGUUGGUGGGGUAAAGGCCUACCAAGGCGACGAUCAGUAGCUGGUCUGAGAGGACGACCAGCCACACUGGGACUGAGACACGGCCCAGACUCCUACGGGAGGCAGCAGUGGGGAAUUUUGGACAAUGGGCGAAAGCCUGAUCCAGCAAUGCCGCGUGUGUGAAGAAGGCCUUCGGGUUGUAAAGCACUUUUGUCCGGAAAGAAAUCCUUGGCCCUAAUACGGUCGGGGGAUGACGGUACCGGAAGAAUAAGCACCAGCUAACUACGUG